This 455-nucleotide ribosomal RNA is filed under the name uncultured bacterium. RNAcentral describes it as "bacterial SSU rRNA". It matches the Rfam family "Bacterial small subunit ribosomal RNA", at positions 30 to 529 of the family's 1533-position model. The record is from RNAcentral.
CGAACGCUGGCGGCAGGCUUAACACAUGCAAGUCGAACGGGUGUAGCAAUACAUCAGUGGCAGACGGGUGAGUAACACGUGGGAACCUUCCUAGGGGUACGGAACAACUCAGGGAAACUUGAGCUAAUACCGUAUACGUCCGUGAGGAGAAAGAUUUAUCGCCCUUAGACGGGCCCGCGUCGGAUUAGCUAGUUGGUGGGGUAACGGCCUACCAAGGCGACGAUCCGUAGCUGAUCUUAGAGGAUGAUCAGCCACACUGGGACCGAGACACGGCCCAGACUCCUACGGGAGGCAGCAGUGGGAAUCUUGGACAAUGGGCGCAAGCCUGAUCCAGCCAUGCCGCGUGAGUGAAGAAGGUCUUCGGAUUGUAAGGCUCUUUUGCCAGGACGAUAAAUGACGGUACCUGGAGAACUAAGCCCGGCGAAACUUCGUGCCAGCAGCCGCGGUAAUCUGAU